RNAcentral lists this long non-coding RNA (300 nucleotides) under Salvia miltiorrhiza (redroot sage). RNAcentral describes it as "long non-coding RNA (SMIL_LNC012701)". Lineage: Eukaryota; Viridiplantae; Streptophyta; Magnoliopsida; Lamiales; Lamiaceae. The record is from RNAcentral.
UGGGAUUCAAAUAAUGGGAUAAAAGUCGGGGAACAGCCUUUGAGUGAAGAAAGACAAAAAUCAAGUGAUAUUAAUCAAUCAACAACAUUCUAAGCCUUAGGAUCACAAGUUCGGUUUCAUGCUUCCGAAAACCAAUGUUAAUAACAUAGAGCUAGAAGUUGAGAGUUUAAGCUCGAUAAGAAACAUAAUUCAGAAUUUAACAUAAAAGUCUUAAGUUGGAGAAACAAAAGACAAAUAAGAGCUAGUGCAACAGCGGAAGACAAAAUACGGAGUUGAACUCUAGCCUCAGCUCUGCCCCGU